Cottoperca gobio is the source of this 137-nucleotide small nucleolar RNA. The record is from Ensembl. NCBI's taxonomy places the organism in Eukaryota, Metazoa, Chordata, Actinopteri, Perciformes, Bovichtidae.
GCAUGGACGAAUUCUGUUUUACUCUUAUAAUAGUAAAUGCAGUCAGACACCAUGCUAAAUAAAAAAUGUUCACAGACUGACUCAAAAGGAUAAUUGUUAAUUAUGCAUCUUAUUCUAAUGUCAGAGUGAAUACAGAA